UGGUUACAUUUCUCCAGCCCCAUCCCUCAGCUUUUUACCGAAACAGAGGCGGGGACGCGCUUUGUUAUUGUUUCAACUGCUGAAUGCCCCUUUAAAGCAGGAAUCCAGAGGUUGUGGGCGACCCAAUGCCGCCCCACUUCUUGCUUAGUAUUUUUACUUUGAACGGAAACAAGAUGAUUGAGCCCUGAGCCACAUGGUCUUCUGGGCAAGGUGUGUCUUUGCGCUAAUCUCGUCUACUCGAAUGACCCUGGUGCCCCGGAGCUGGAGGGGAAGUGAAAUCACUUGCAACCUAACGUUAGGUUCAACAGAAACAAACAAAGCCGACGAAGCCAACAAGCAUCAUUCUCGGUUCUGAAUCAACUCAACCCCAAAACAGAAAAAGAAGCAAGAAAAAGAUUGCUCAUGACCAAUCCAGAAACUGGAUAAACAUUGGAAUUAAUUUUGAAAGGUGGAAGAGUGACGCCGAAAUGGCCACCAUUCUAAUAGACUGGUAACGUUAGGGAGAUACUGGUGGAGGCAGGCUGAUUUCGAGAAAACUGAGGCUGUACAAGUUAAGCAUCAAAACUGCCGGAGUAACAGAACCAUGGAUGACUUGGACAACUUGCUGCAUAAUAAAAAACGGAACACAAAUC
RNAcentral lists this long non-coding RNA (632 nucleotides) under Salmo salar (Atlantic salmon). RNAcentral's name for it is "lncRNA (ENSSSAG00000111435.1, ENSSSAG00000115109.1)". Lineage: Eukaryota; Metazoa; Chordata; Actinopteri; Salmoniformes; Salmonidae. The record is from RNAcentral.